Long non-coding RNA from Bombyx mori (domestic silkworm), 2462 nucleotides. RefSeq lists it as uncharacterized. Lineage: Eukaryota; Metazoa; Arthropoda; Insecta; Lepidoptera; Bombycidae. The record is from RefSeq and is a predicted model, not a curated record. The transcript has 4 exons.
AUAAAGAUUCAAACUUUUUUGUUUUUAAAAUUCGAAAAAGCUCUUAUCCAUCCUAUGAAAAAAUUCGAAAAAAUUAAUUUAAGAUUACAUAAUUUGUUUCACGACAGUGGGAAUAUCCGCUGUUGACGAAGACGUGGAAAAAAUAUUGGAAAACCGCGUGCUUCAUCUACGUCCUUCAAAUAUGAAUGGAAUUGACAAAAUCGAAACUUUGAAUGAAUAUUUCCAUAAAAUUGUUAUGGCUGAAAAAAGCGGAAGUACGACCCCAUCCAGGUUCUUAGCCAAAAAAAAUUGAACAGAAGAAAUUAAUCGGCCAAGGAAACAAAGACGCCACGACACGAUACUACGAUUAUUUCUAAGAAAAUAUUACUAAAUUCUGAUUUUUAUUCACAAUAACAAAUUAAAAUACGUUUUGGUGUUUAUACGCCGCCCGAUUCCUAGUGUAUUUUAAAUGGUAUUUUUAAUGGACACAGUGAUUGCUGUUUUCCAAAUGCGUUAUGAUUUUUUUUUCCAGUCACCUAUUUAACAAUUCUAUGUAGUACAAUUCGAUGUACGCUCUAAAGGUGAGAGGUGCUAUGUGUUACGUGCAUCGUAUGCUAUUGUGAAAUAUUGAAGCCGACUAAGAAGACUUCGCUCUCCUAUAUUGUCUAUAACCGUCCCGGAAAGGAAUGACAGCGACUUCCUACUUCAAACGAUUUAAAUAGAUACGCAUUCUUUUAACUGUGACCUUUUAAAAUGGUGGUAAAUCAAUUCAGUUUCGACAGGUUAUUUUAAACUAGCGCAUCGGAUUAAUAUAAUUAUUAUUUAUAAAAUCAAUUCUUAAAAUUUCUUCUCUUAAAUUUCUUUCAAUUUUAUGUUGAUAUAGGGCGCUUUUUAAUUUAGUUUUAUUCAAAAUGUAUCUAAGUAGUGUGUACAGAUAUAAUAUAUAAAGACAAAACAAUUCCUUAUUCGUCAAUAGAUUUUCUUUUUCUUUCUUUGAUUAGUGACUGUUGAUGGGCUUUUCUGCUUUCACUUUUUUAUGUAGUACCUAUGUAUUUAUUUAGUACCUACACAUGUUUUUUUUUCUUCUUAAAAUGACAACAACAAAGUAGGGAAUAAUAAAUUAAUACAUAAAAUGUAUCCAAAUCCUAAGGCGUCAGUGAUUAUUAUAUGAUUGAAUUAUUGGGCGAACACUAGUAUAUAUUUUUAUACGUCUUUUAAUAAUGUUUAAAUUAUAUCAGCUCAAUCCAUCUUUUCUUUAAAAGUGGAUCCUCAAAUAUGCAAAAAUGUUGAUGAUAUAGAAACAUGUAAGUACAAUGAUUUAGACAUUCGUAUGAGUUGCGAGAAAACUCAAUCACGAUCUAUUACGUUCGAAACCGGCGUAAGAAACGAGUUCAUCAUUACGAACGCGGAAGCGAUGAGAACCUCUUCUGAAUUUCAAAUGAAUAGACAUAAUCCAUAUUUCAGUGGAGAAGGCAGCCGGAGACCGCAGUGAAUCGGGGAUUAUGAGUUUUGCCGAAACUCAGCAGCCUCAUGAAAAACUACGUUGAACAGAUUGCGUUCAUAUUUACAAUUGCACCUAAAAAUGUGUGAUUUUAGUGAUAAAAAGUGAUAAUAAUAACUAAUAAUGUACGAUUCCAACGUUUUUUUUUUUCUUAGUUAUGGUUUAAUUUUUAAAAAAUCAUAAUUGACAAUUCGAAAGAGUUUUUAAAUUUUAAAAACAAACUUUGAAUUUUGCGUUAAUGAUCUCAAAUAUAUAAAGUGUAUAAUCUAUGGUUAAUGAUGAUUGCAUCCAUGACGUAAGUCCGCUAAGCUAAUAGAACGUUUUAUACGCUUCUGUAUACAACAACAUUACUGUGUACAUGAAUUUAUUUAAAUGUUAUUCCCCAUUCGAGUUCGUGAAUGACAUCAUGUUUCACUUCGCUUUUUUGUGUUCAUGAUGAUUUUAUUGUUUAAGUUUAAGUUUUUUAUUAGUCGAUCUUGCCAAAUUUAAUAAUACUUCAUGAAAAUAUUUAAUUGCAAAAUCAUGUAAUGUUAUUUUUUUAACAAAUAAAAAAAUAUAUAUUAUCAUAUUAUUCGUUAACGUAAUUAGGCGACCGAUGUUAACAUAACAAGAUCCUGAUUAUUUCUCUAAAAGCAACAGCAAAAACGAGCCGACACGAAGUAAUUCUAUUUAUUUUAAUAGAUCUGCGGUGUGGCAGGUGAGCACACUCAAUUAUAUUUCGAUCAGGACAUCGCCGCCGGCGCGUGCUGCAGCCCUAAAUGGAUUAUUGGUCGUGGACGGCGACGUAAGGGGAGGGCGACAACCAGAGCUGGAGGCAGAGAUGGAUCUAAAACCCCUCAAAGAGUUUUCGUUUACGUAAUGUUAAGCAUGACUUUUUUAUUUAUUUAAGUUGUAAUUUGUGAUAGAAAUACAGAACUACACAUAUUAUAUUGUAUUAUAGUGUACUUUAUUGUAUAUUUUUUAAAUUAUAAUGUAAGAUUCA